CCAGUGACAAAGUUAAACGGCCGCGGUACCCUGACCGUGCGAAGGUAGCAUAAUCACUUGUUCUUUAAAUCAGGACUAGUAUGAAUGGCCUCACGAGAGCUGUACUGUCUCCCCCCCCUAAUCAGUGAAACUGAUCUCCCCGUGAAGAAGCGAGGAUGUUCAUAUAAGACGAGAAGACCCCAUGGAGCUUUAAACUCACACCACUGCCCCACCCCCACACCCAACAAACUGCGGCAGCAUGGUCGACGAGUCUUUCGGCUGGGGCGGCCACGGAGAAAAACAAAACCUCCAUGAUGAAAGGACACCCUAAUCUAAGAGCCACCACUCUAAGAAUCAACAAACUGACACAUUGACCCAAACAUUUUGAUCAACGAACCAAGUUACCCUGGGGAUAACAGCGCAAUCCAUUUCGAGAGGCCCCAUCAACAAAUGGGCUUACGACCUCGAUGUUGGAUCAGGGUAUCCCAGUGGUGCAGCCGCUACUAAAGGUUCGUUUGUUCAACGAUUAAAACCUU
RNAcentral lists this ribosomal RNA (515 nucleotides) under Anodonthyla hutchisoni. RNAcentral describes it as "partial 16S ribosomal RNA". It matches the Rfam family "Bacterial large subunit ribosomal RNA", at positions 1863 to 2597 of the family's 2925-position model. Lineage: Eukaryota; Metazoa; Chordata; Amphibia; Anura; Microhylidae. The record is from RNAcentral.